UCCCUCUCAGGGUCACACCUGGAGAGUUCCCAGUACUCUACCAGUCUCGACUACAGGAGGGAGAGUCAGGCAGAAGUAUAUCCUUUCCAUUCCUAACUUGAGCAGUGGGUAGCGAGUGGCAGGCAAUCUACUACAAGU
Tachyglossus aculeatus (Australian echidna) is the source of this 138-nucleotide small nucleolar RNA. Lineage: Eukaryota; Metazoa; Chordata; Mammalia; Monotremata; Tachyglossidae. The record is from RefSeq and is a predicted model, not a curated record.